Molecule: long non-coding RNA, 786 nt
Organism: Bombus impatiens (common eastern bumble bee)
Lineage: Eukaryota; Metazoa; Arthropoda; Insecta; Hymenoptera; Apidae
Exons: 4
Source: RefSeq, a predicted model, not a curated record
UUCCGUCCCAUGUGUUCGCUGGAUCGUAGCUCGACGUGGUCGAGGGCAUAGGUGGAGCUCCGUACGCCGGUGACGCAGCUGGUUCCAUCGACAUUCCUGCAACAGGACCAUGAGCUGCCGUUUCCCAGUGUGGUGGGUGCUCUACUGGUGGGUGUCCGUAGUGCACGACUUCGUAGGCGACCUUGGGUUUCGUCAGCUUGAAGAUCAUCAUCGCUCCACUGAGCACCAUCGAGAGGAGACCCAGGGUGAGAGCUUUCCAGGUCUUCAGAGCAAUCAAGGCAAGAGCGAGCGGCACCAGAGCGGUAGCUUUGAACUUCAGACCCAGCAGGAACGGAAUCAUAACCUUCUUAACGAAUCCACGGCCUAUAAAUAUUAUCCAGAUAAGUGUAUCAGGUCAGUUGUAUUUUAUUUCUUCCUCUUUAUAAAACAAAUUUUGUUACCUUGACCGUUUGAGGAGUCAGACAAAGGAACAGUCAAGCUUCUGGGCAUGGUAUCCACUAAGGCUCUCGGUACAAUAUUGGAGCCAACGAUAGCCUCAGGCAGCUUAGCCUCCAGCUGGUGACUCGACAGGAUCUACUGAGUCGUACUGCGGAGGGUAGUAUUCUUCAUUGCUUUCUUCGGCCAUGUUUCGAGAUUUAACUAUUGCUAAGUCGUCCGUAAUGGCUAGUCUGUCUUCUUUCACAGCUUGGCUAAGAGCGUCAGCUGUUGUUUCAAUCCUCUGCGCAGCGGUGAGGGCGGCCAGAAGGGCGACAGACGAGACGAUCGUUGUGAACUUCAUGACGGUAC